This 216-nucleotide long non-coding RNA is filed under the name Anas platyrhynchos platyrhynchos (common mallard). RNAcentral describes it as "lncRNA (ENSAPLG00000024813.1)". Lineage: Eukaryota; Metazoa; Chordata; Aves; Anseriformes; Anatidae. The record is from RNAcentral.
AUGAAUAUUAAUUCAGCUGUCUUUCACUGGGUCAAGCCGGAGCAGUUUUGCCCUUUCUUUGCAGAAGAUCUUUUUGACUCUCCAUGGCCAUUUUGCAGACCAUACCAUGGGGGAGUUAUGACCACCCGACAGCACUUCAGCAGCAGAGGUGGUUACCACAAAAAGGUAAAGGUUUCUUCUGAGAACAGGCUGAUCCAGACCGAUAUCUUCCAUUGA